Molecule: long non-coding RNA, 431 nt
Organism: Gallus gallus (chicken)
Lineage: Eukaryota; Metazoa; Chordata; Aves; Galliformes; Phasianidae
Source: Ensembl
CCUGCCAGUACGUCAAAACUGUCCCCAAGCUCCGAGUGAGAAUGGAAGGGGAAGCUGACAAAGGCCAUAUUGCAGCAGUUUCCAUCUGUGUACAAGACUCAAAAGCCAAAAAGAUAGAGGGAAGCGGUGCCGAGCUGAUGGUGGAAGACGUGGCAUCUGAAAAUGAACAGCAGUCUUCCCAUCCCCAGGCAGUGCCCGCUGAGUAGAACAAGCUUUGCCUCGCUGUUGGUUCCUCUGGCUCUGCGAUGAUUCACUGCUAUCCUGCAAAACAGGCAGCCGUGGCACAGCAUUAGUCACGGGCACUGACAAGGGGGAUGCUCGCGCCGGGGAAGUACAGAACGCACUGCUAAAGAGAAACCAGGUCUUCAUUGUCCUGCAGCCUGGGAAAACCAGUUUCAGGACGUCACAAGUAAAGCUGCAGUUGGCUUUUG